UGACCUCAAAUCAGGUUAGAGUUCCCGCUGAACUUAAGCAUAUCAAUAAGCGGAGGA
Molecule: ribosomal RNA, 57 nt
Filed under: Glomus sp. 4.4
Lineage: Eukaryota; Fungi; Glomeromycota; Glomeromycetes; Glomerales; Glomeraceae
Description: partial 28S ribosomal RNA
Rfam family: Eukaryotic large subunit ribosomal RNA
Source: RNAcentral